This is a long non-coding RNA of Acanthochromis polyacanthus (spiny chromis), 1825 nucleotides long. RefSeq lists it as uncharacterized. The transcript has 4 exons. The record is from RefSeq and is a predicted model, not a curated record. Lineage: Eukaryota; Metazoa; Chordata; Actinopteri; Pomacentridae.
CACGCUGCCCAGCCAGAAAGGAGCACCAGCCCCCAGCCGUCCACCUCUGGCUCACUGCAUUACCCUCCAGAGCCUCACAUAAGUCUCAUCCCCCCACCGACGAGAGGAGCUCCAGCCCCCCGAGGUCCAACUCUGCUCAGCAAGCGAGGACGUCCCGGCAAAUCUCCACCCCGGGGGAGAAAGAGCAGAGUCAGGGAGGAGAUGGAUCAGAGGCCAGCAGCAGGGACAAGGAUGUAGGGUCUUUACAGAUGUUCAGAGGGAGCUGAUGCCACAUCUGGUCCAGCUGAUGGAAGGUCUUGAAGUUCUCUGACUGAAGAUGGUCCUCUCACUGGAUUUAAGUUUCAGAUGCUCAGGAACAAACUCCACCAAUGAGCCAACAGGAAAGCUUUAGUUUUAUGAAAUGUUGCUAUGAAGCAUGAAGACUAAACUCUCCACAAGGACCCAAAAUAAGUUGGACUUCUACAUGAGAGCUUUAGUUAUUCUUCAUCUACUUCCUGAAAAGUUUGGUCAAUAAAAAAGACAAAAACUAAUAUUUUCAGCUGAGCUAAAGACAGACUUUGUGAUUUUUCUGCUCACAUGUCUAGGCUUGCGCUAGCCGAUCGCCACAGCGCCAUUGGCGCAUCGUUUUGCUGGAUGGCGCAGUCAUUCUGAACUGUGUGAGCCACAGUGGCGCUCUAUUUUUCUUGUAAAAAGCAUCAAAAAAAGGGUUCGACUUACUUUUUAUUCCAAUCUCUCGGCAGGCGUCGGAAAUGGUCGGAGUCACCCGAAUCUUGAUCACGCGCCCGGUGUUGUAGAAUUUUCACACUCCCCGGAAAAAUCUGACUCCCCCUUCGCGUGAACGCGCGCGACUUCCGUUUCACUCUGUGGCCACUUGACGGGUUUUCUGUUGUACGUUUACUGUUUUUGUUGUUGUUUUCUACAGGUUUUCGAGUUAAAUGUGAUUAAGUACCGAACUGCAGACAUGUUUUCCUGUUAAAUAUGAUUAGGUGACAUGUUUCUCCUCCUCUUCUCAUCCGUAUGUGCGCACCCUAAAUGGCAUCAGGGGAGAUUCUACACUACUCUCAGCUUCACUCCUAUGAGGACAGCAGGACAGGACAGGGUGUAGUCGCCAAAUAUUGUUUAUAUUCCAUCAGUGUUCUACACGUGUCAAUAAAAUAAUUGUUCACUGAGAAAACUGAGAAAAUCGGACUCCCCUAAGAAUGCAAGAUAUGGCAUCAAAAUAUGUCUGGUAUUUAUGUAUAAAGUCUUUAAUAUAAGUAUAGUUCUUAAGUAUAAAGUCAUUUGUUAUUGUUGUUAUUUUUAUUGGGCCAGUAAACAAUAUAAUAGAAUUGAAAUUCUUUAUUUAUCCCACACCUGGGAAAUUAUUUGCUACAACAGCUAAAACACCAAAUCACAACAAUUUUUUAAAAAAAAACUAGUAAAUUACAGUCUGUAAGAACAGAAUAAUAAAAUAAGGGGCUAAAUGAUCACAGUAUGGCAUAUUAAGAACAGAGAGACUAUUUCAAAACUAGGACUUUAACAGAAAUAUGCAGGUUGAGUUAACUGCACAUUGUAUGAUAUGAAAUAAAAUCUGGAGUCAGAUUUUGUAGGGUCACUUAACAAAAUCUGACUCCCCUAGAGGAGGUUUUUGUUGAGUUUAUGCUACAGUUGUGAGAUAUGGUCCAUAGUGAGGGUUGAAGAAUUGGACAUAGGAGGAAAAGAAGGUAAAUUGGACAUGAAAUUAAUAUUUUUAUGGGUCAAAAAGUUUUGAUCAUGAACAUGUUUCAGGUACAGGUUUUUAAAUGGCCAAAUGCAUAUAUACAUGGAAAUGUGUCUUCACCCCUGA